Molecule: ribosomal RNA, 161 nt
Filed under: Ignatius tetrasporus
Lineage: Eukaryota; Viridiplantae; Chlorophyta; Ulvophyceae; Ignatiales; Ignatiaceae
Description: 5.8S ribosomal RNA
Rfam family: 5.8S ribosomal RNA
About the family: 5.8S ribosomal RNA (5.8S rRNA) is a component of the large subunit of the eukaryotic ribosome. It is transcribed by RNA polymerase I as part of the 45S precursor that also contains 18S and 28S rRNA. Functionally, it is thought that 5.8S rRNA may be involved in ribosome translocation.
Source: RNAcentral
GAAAAACUCUCAACAAUGGAUGUCUUGGGACUCGCAUCGAUGAAGAACGCAGCGAACUGCGAUAAGUAGUGUGAAUUGCAGAAUUCCGUGAAUCAUCGAGUUUUUGAACGCAUAUUGCGCUCGAGGCCUCGGCCAAGAGCAUGUCUGCCUCAGCGUCAUUA